UUAGAGUUUGAUCCUGGCUCAGAAUCAACGCUGGCGGCAUGCCUAACACAUGCAAGUCGAACGGGAAAGUCCUUCGGGACGAGUACAGUGGCGCACGGGUGAGUAACGCGUGGGUUAUCUACCUCCGGGUGGGGAAUAACUCGGGGAAACUCGAGCUAAUACCGCAUAAUACGUUCUACGUUAAAGCAGCAAUGCGCCUGGAGAUGAGCCUGCGUCCGAUUAGCUAGUUGGUGGGGUAAUGGCCCACCAAGGCGACGAUCGGUAGCCGGCCUGAGAGGGCGGUCGGCCACACUGGCACUGAAACACGGGCCAGACUCCUACGGGAGGCAGCAGUGAGGAAUCUUGGGCAAUGGGCGAAAGCCUGACCCAGCAAUGCCGCGUGAACGAUGAAGUCCUUCGGGAUGUAAAGUUCAUAAGCAGGAGAAGAACACCAUGACGGUAUCCUGUGUAAGCCCCGGCCAACUACGUGCCAGCAGCCGCGGUAAUACGUAGGGGGCAAGCGUUGUUCGGAUUUACUGGGCGUAAAGGGCGCGUAG
RNAcentral lists this ribosomal RNA (536 nucleotides) under uncultured Acidobacteriota bacterium. RNAcentral describes it as "bacterial SSU rRNA". It matches the Rfam family "Bacterial small subunit ribosomal RNA", at positions 1 to 574 of the family's 1533-position model. Lineage: Bacteria; Pseudomonadati; Acidobacteriota. The record is from RNAcentral.